GGAGUUUGGUCCGUGUCUCAGUACCAAUGUGGGGGACCUUCCUCUCAGAACCCCUACUGAUCGAUGGCUAGGUGGGCCGUUACCCCGCCUACUACCUAAUCAGACGCAUCCCCAGCCCAUACCGGAAAAACCUUUCAUACAACUCAGAUGCCUUCAUCGUACUACAUAGAGUAUUAAUCCGACUUUCGCCGGGCUAUCCUCUUGUAUGGGGUAGGUUGGAUACGCGUUACUCACCCGUGCGCCGGUCGCCGGCAAGAAUAGCAAGCUACUCUCCCGAUGCCCCUCGACUUGCAUGUGUUAAGCCUGUAGCUAGCGUUCAUC
Molecule: ribosomal RNA, 321 nt
Filed under: uncultured Prevotella sp.
Lineage: Bacteria; Pseudomonadati; Bacteroidota; Bacteroidia; Bacteroidales; Prevotellaceae
Description: partial 16S ribosomal RNA
Source: RNAcentral